This 1037-nucleotide long non-coding RNA is filed under the name Rhinopithecus bieti (black snub-nosed monkey). RNAcentral's name for it is "lncRNA (ENSRBIG00000046446.1)". Lineage: Eukaryota; Metazoa; Chordata; Mammalia; Primates; Cercopithecidae. The record is from RNAcentral.
GAGGCGCCGUCUACCGGCUUCCAGAGCCCACCGCUCCCUACCCUGGCUCCCGGGGGUGUGGCCGCCGGAGGGUGUGCCGGCCCAGAGUCCCAGGCCCUGCCGGCCCGGCCUCUCCCUCCCUUCUGUCACCGCAGCCGACCGGCCAAGGGCACCAGCCCUGGAGAGGGCUCGGGGCUCAGCCUGGCCUGCUCUGCUGUGAGCUCAUUCCCCGAGUCCACCAGUUCUAGUUCCUGCCCCUCCCCCAAAGGCUCGGGUCGCAGGCUGGGGCCUGGCACCCACCCCAAAGUUUGGGAGGGGGCUCCGAGGCCAUCAGGCUCCAGGCCGCCUUUGGCUCUGCCCCCUGGCGCCAGGGAAACAAAGGUUAGGGGCCCAGAGGGAGUUAUCUGGCCCCAUCCCCACCGGGUGGGGGGGGACAAGAGGGGCGCAGUUCCCCUCCACUCCCCAGCCGUACUGAUUCUUCGAGACACUUUCACAGGCGGAAAUUCCCAGAGGCCAGGACCUAAACUGUUCACAACUCCCAGCAGGCCAGAGCUGCAGAGACCUCAGAUAGAGACUGUAAAGUGCUGUGGAAGCCUUGUUCAAAUAAAAACAUUCAUGAAUGUCCAGUAUUUGAAAUUGAUAUGCUGAGGUUCUCCAAUGGAAACUGGGCUGGAGGCACCCACACCCCUGUUCACUCAGCCUGUUCUCCUCUCCUAUCUCAAUCUCUCUCUCUCUCUUUUUUUUUUUUUUAAUAGAAAUAACACCUUGCUGUAUUGCCUAGGCUGGUGUGCAUUGGCAUGAUCAUAGGUCACUGCAGCCUUGAAUUCCUGGGCUCAAGUGAUCCUCCCACCCCAGGCUCCUGAGUAGCAAGGACUAUAGAUGCCACACCUGGCUAAUUUUUAUUUUUAUUUUUUGUAGUGACGGGGGGUCUUGCUAGGUUGCCCAGGCUGGUCUUGAACUCCUGACUUCAAGCAGUCCUCCCACCUCAGCCUCCUAAAGUGUUGGGAUUACAGGCGUGAGCCACUGUGCCUGGCCCCCUAUCCCAAUAUCUAUAAGAU